UAAGAGCAAUAGGCCACCCAUAU
This 23-nucleotide non-coding RNA is filed under the name Mus musculus (house mouse). Lineage: Eukaryota; Metazoa; Chordata; Mammalia; Rodentia; Muridae. The record is from RNAcentral.